RNAcentral lists this ribosomal RNA (497 nucleotides) under uncultured bacterium. Its description in RNAcentral is "partial 16S ribosomal RNA". It matches the Rfam family "Bacterial small subunit ribosomal RNA", at positions 28 to 507 of the family's 1533-position model. The record is from RNAcentral.
GAUGAACGCUGGCGGCGUGCCUAAUACAUGCAAGUCGAGCGAACAGACGAGGAGCUUGCUCCUCUGACGUUAGCGGCGGACGGGUGAGUAACACGUGGAUAACCUACCUAUAAGACUGGGAUAACUUCGGGAAACCGGAGCUAAUACCGGAUAAUAUAUUGAACCGCAUGGUUCAAUAGUGAAAGACGGUUUUGCUGUCACUUAUAGAUGGAUCCGCGCCGCAUUAGCUAGUUGGUAAGGUAACGGCUUACCAAGGCAACGAUGCGUAGCCGACCUGAGAGGUGGACGGCCCACCUUGGAACUGAGACAGGUCCAAGCCCCCCGGGGGAGGCGGAAGAGGGGAUUCUCCGGAAAGGGGCGAAACCCGGAGGGAGCACCCCGGGGGGAGUGAAGAAGUUUUGGGUACCUAAAACCUUUUUUUUGGGGAAAAAAAAAAAGUAAAAUAACUUAUGCCUGUCUGGACGUUACAAAAAAAAAAACCCCCGGCAAACCCCGUG